Molecule: long non-coding RNA, 369 nt
Organism: Tachysurus fulvidraco (yellow catfish)
Lineage: Eukaryota; Metazoa; Chordata; Actinopteri; Siluriformes; Bagridae
Exons: 3
Source: RefSeq, a predicted model, not a curated record
AAAAGUCCCCUCUGUAAACAGCUAGUAAAUCACCUUGCACAUGUUUUUGAGAGAGUUUAAACACCACUUGAGUAAAUCAUGACCUGAGUGUAUUGCGUGGAUGUGAGCCCCGGCUUUAACCAGCAGUUUAACGGACUGACUGAAGCCGUGCCAUGCGACCUCGUGCAGCGCCGUGUUCCCAUCCUGUCCAAUCAAACAGAAGAAAAAUGCUUGCACACCCUUCCUGGACGAGCGCUGUGAUGACGUCACCGUUUCCCACCACGGCUGCUCUGUGUAACGCCGUCUGAUCGCCCUGGCAGCAGCAAGUCAACAUUCACAUCGAUACAACUUGAACUUGUUGAAUAGUUACACAGAUGCAGCGACUUGUUA